AACGAGUCGAGCUGUGGGAGUCGGUUCAGCUGCGGGUUUCGGAUUUAGAGCCGUGAUAUGAGAGAAACAGAGAAUCUUCCAGCUCCGCUUUACUGCCUCCUGCUUCUGCUCUCUGGAGUCUCCUCUUACAAUAUUUCCUCUGGAGGUCAUCCACAGCAAAGACCAGCUGGACCAUCCGAGCCGUCACUACGCCAACCACACUUGACCACACUAAGAGGAAAUAAAAUGAUCAACGACCAACAGGAGAAACCGUGAACUCCAAAGACCACCAACUUCUCACAAAACAACCCUGAUGGUCACACAGUUCCUGUUGCAGAUGGUUCGUUUCAGGUCAGUUCAGUCCAACCUGAGCCAAACUGAAGCUCCUGCUGGACCUUCUCAACCCGAGCAGCAGAACACAGCGGUCCAUCAUGAGGAACCUCAGAAACUGGUCAGAAGAAAAUCUUUAUCUGAACCUCCUGAUAUUUCCUCACUGUCCAUUAAGGAUGGAACAGAACCCUCUACCAUCACUCAGGAGAAUCAAGGAUCUUCGGCAUCUUCAAACACCCAAACGGACACCUGAAGCAGAGACACAGUCCAGCAAGACUGUAGUGGGGUUUAUCCAGGGUGGGCAGGAUGUCAGUUCUCAGUGGAAAUUCCAGAGACAGUGAGUGGUGUGAACUGAGCCAUGUGCAGGUGAACAUUUGGAGAUGUUGUGGCGGUAAUGAUGAUCUGUAAGUACCUGAAGGUGCUCUUGGAUGAUGGACAUGACUGGACUGCUGACAUUAUGACUGAACUAAAAGGAGCUGCAGGUUCUUGUCACUUGGAGGCGCUGUUGGACUGUAAUCAGGCUCUACAAUCAGGGACAAGUCAAGAGACUGUUACUACUGUUAAACUAGAGACAGUACAGUAAAUAUGAUGAUUAAAACAGACAUUAGAGACCGUAAACAGACUGGACAGUGGACAGACUCAUCACGGUCAUUCAGGGUCCCUGGGCAUGUUAACAGCACAAUAACACCUUAAUAACAUCUCAUAAAUAAAUGCAGAAAUAAAUACCUGCAAAUGUGAGAUUAAACAAUAAUUUACAUUCAUGUUUGUUUGUAAUCAGCUUUGUACAUUUUGUUCUUUUUUUAUUAUGACAAUAAACAAACUUUGCUUUAUUAAUGAUUAA
Molecule: long non-coding RNA, 1150 nt
Organism: Pygocentrus nattereri (red-bellied piranha)
Lineage: Eukaryota; Metazoa; Chordata; Actinopteri; Characiformes; Serrasalmidae
Exons: 2
Source: RefSeq, a predicted model, not a curated record